GUUGGUGAACCAGCGGAGGGAUCAUUACAGAGUUGCAAAACUCCCACAAACCAUCGCGAAUCUUACCCGUACGGUUGCCUCGGCGCUGGCGGUCCGGAAGGCCCUCGGGCCCCCGGAUCCUCGGGUCUCCCGCUCGCGGGAGGCUGCCCGCCGGAGUGCCGAAACCAAACUCUUGAUAUUUUAUGUCUCUCUGAGUAAACUUUUAAAUAAGUCAAAACUUUCAACAACGGAUCUCUUGGUUCUG
Molecule: unclassified non-coding RNA, 244 nt
Filed under: rhizosphere metagenome
Description: partial ribosomal RNA internal transcribed spacer region
Source: RNAcentral